RNAcentral lists this transfer RNA (62 nucleotides) under Bdellovibrionales bacterium. RNAcentral's name for it is "tRNA-Ile". It matches the Rfam family "tRNA", at positions 9 to 63 of the family's 71-position model. Rfam says of the family: Transfer RNA (tRNA) molecules are approximately 80 nucleotides in length. Their secondary structure includes four short double-helical elements and three loops (D, anti-codon, and T loops). Further hydrogen bonds mediate the characteristic L-shaped molecular structure. tRNAs have two regions of fundamental functional importance: the anti-codon, which is responsible for specific mRNA codon recognition, and the 3' end, to which the tRNAs corresponding amino acid is attached (by aminoacyl-tRNA synthetases). tRNAs cope with the degeneracy of the genetic code in two manners: having more than one tRNA (with a specific anti-codon) for a particular amino acid; and 'wobble' base-pairing, i.e. permitting non-standard base-pairing at the 3rd anti-codon position. Lineage: Bacteria; Pseudomonadati; Bdellovibrionota; Bdellovibrionia; Bdellovibrionales. The record is from RNAcentral.
AGCUCAACGGUUAGAGCGGCGGUCUUAUAAGCCGUGUGUAAUAGGUUCAACUCCUAUAGGGA